UACAGAGGGGGCGAGCGUUGUUCGGAAUUACUGGGCGUAAAGGGCGCGUAGGCGGCCUGCUAAGUCAUACGUGAAAUCCCUCGGCUCAACCGAGGAAUUGCGCCUGAUACUGGCGGGCUAGAGAUCGAUAGGGGUGAGUGGAACUCCAGGUGGAGCGGUGAAAUGCGUAGAUAUCUGGAGGAACACCGGUGGCGAAGGCGGCUCACUGGCCCGGUACUGACGCUGAGGUGCGAAAGCGUGGGGAGCAAACAGG
RNAcentral lists this ribosomal RNA (253 nucleotides) under uncultured bacterium. RNAcentral's name for it is "partial 16S ribosomal RNA". It matches the Rfam family "Bacterial small subunit ribosomal RNA", at positions 524 to 776 of the family's 1533-position model. The record is from RNAcentral.